This is a long non-coding RNA of Stegastes partitus (bicolor damselfish), 582 nucleotides long. RefSeq lists it as uncharacterized. NCBI's taxonomy places the organism in Eukaryota, Metazoa, Chordata, Actinopteri, Pomacentridae. The transcript is spliced from 3 exons. The record is from RefSeq and is a predicted model, not a curated record.
AACUUUACCUGUGACCUAAAUAAAUUCUGCAUCUGAGAACUGAAGAUUUCUCCGGCUUGUUCUUGGGCUUCCAGCUAAAGAAUCGGAUCUAAUCCGUCCUCAUUAUAUCUUUAUUUUGAUCUUUAUCCGACUUCUUGUCUCGUUUCUUCCUGUGAGUUAUGUAAUGUGAGGCAUCAACACGGUUUAUUUUAUCUCAUUUAGUUCAUCUACAGACACGACGAGCAGUUUAUUCCCCCGACUGAGGAGCAGACGUGAUGAUCUUCUCAUCAUCUCAGAGUGGAAGUCAUCGUUUAAGGUGAGAGACGGUGAAAAUCAGGAACUACGAUGGGAUAUAAAACCAUUUUCAGUCCAAAUGCGGUCUGCCUCCUGAGUCAAGUCGACCCGUUAUCGUCUGAACCAGGCAUCAGAGAACAACUAAACCAAACCAGUGACCAAAUGAAACACCUGCACACCUGGCUGAUCGCUGCUCAGUUAUCGAGCCUCUUUGAGUUAAAACAUCCUAACUGCAUCCGUUUCUAAGUCAGACUUCUGUGUGGCUGAGCUUCGUCGUGCACAUCUGUCCACAUCUGUCCACAUCUGCUG